Molecule: long non-coding RNA, 515 nt
Organism: Athene cunicularia (burrowing owl)
Lineage: Eukaryota; Metazoa; Chordata; Aves; Strigiformes; Strigidae
Exons: 3
Source: RefSeq, a predicted model, not a curated record
UCUGACCACUCUUUCUGUGAAAAACCUUUUCCUAAUGUCCAGUCUGACCCUCCCCUGUUGCAAUUUAAAGCCAUUCCCUCUUGUUCUUCAGAGAUGCAUCCCCCUCUUCUGCCACAGGCCCUGGUGGUGGGAUGACCCCUCCUCCAGGGCCUUGGUGACACGCUGGUCUAGGGGCUGGUGAGAGCAGCCAGGUCGGGCGGUUCUCACCCACGCGUGUCACAUCAGGCUCACCCUGUGGUCCCUGCUGAACAUCCCCCAUCCCCAAACAGCUGCUCCCCCCUUUACACAGGGGUAUUGACAGUCUGUGCCCCAUACGGUUAUGCACAUCCACCACACCUGUGUACAGACGCACACAGCCCGUACGCCGCACCUACACCCGCAGGUCGAUCGUGCCAUCAUCGCCAGACACCUGGGUGAGGGCUGGAGACACCCCAAAGCCCCUGCCGCAGUCCGCACCAGCCCUGCGGCUACUCCAAGCAGCACUGGGGGCUCCGAGCUGGGGCUGGAGCAGGAGG